Molecule: microRNA precursor, 95 nt
Filed under: Procavia capensis (Cape rock hyrax)
Lineage: Eukaryota; Metazoa; Chordata; Mammalia; Hyracoidea; Procaviidae
Description: miRNA (ENSPCAG00000019880.1)
Source: RNAcentral
GUGUGAAUAUGUAUGCAUAUAUUUGCCAAGUAUGGUAUAUGUAAGUAUACACACACACACACACACACACACACACACACACACACACACACACA